GUGAGGAAUUUUCCGCAAUGGGCGAAAGCCUGACGGAGCAAUGCCGCGUGAAGGAUGAAGGCCUAUGGGUUGUAAACUUCUUUUCUCAGAAAAGAAUUAUGACGGUAUCUGAGGAAUAAGCAUCGGCUAACUCUGUGCCAGCAGCCGCGGUAAGACAGAGGAUGCAAGCGUUAUCCGGAAUGAUUGGGCGUAAAGCGUCUGUAGGUUGUUUAAAAAGUAUUCUGUCAAAGAUUAGGGCUUAACCCUAGAUAGGCAGAAUAAACUUUUAAGCUAGAGUUUGGUAGAAGCAGAGGGAAUUCCCGGUGGAGCGGUGAAAUGCGUAGAUAUCGGGAGGAACACCAAAGGCGAAGGCACUCUGCUGGGCCAAUACUAACACUGAGAGACGAAAGCGAGGGGAGCAAAUGGGAUUAGAAACCCGUGUAGUCC
Molecule: ribosomal RNA, 426 nt
Filed under: uncultured bacterium
Lineage: Bacteria
Description: partial 16S ribosomal RNA
Rfam family: Bacterial small subunit ribosomal RNA
Source: RNAcentral